Molecule: small RNA, 174 nt
Filed under: Streptomyces sp.
Lineage: Bacteria; Bacillati; Actinomycetota; Actinomycetes; Kitasatosporales; Streptomycetaceae
Also listed under: 1 other name
Description: c-di-AMP sequence
Rfam family: c-di-AMP riboswitch aptamer (ydaO/yuaA leader)
About the family: This family represents a conserved RNA structure found upstream of the ydaO and yuaA genes in Bacillus subtilis and related genes in other bacteria. The ydaO/yuaA element is thought to act as a genetic "off" switch for the ydaO and yuaA genes in its native state.
Source: RNAcentral
GAGCGGCCUCCGCCGAAUUCGGUACGCCUUCGCGGCAGCCGGAACCGGGGACCCAACCGAACAUGGGGUGAAUCGGCCCGACCGCCCUUCGGGGCAGCGGCCGUAGGGCAUGCCUUCCGGAAUCGACCGCCCGAACCCGACAGCUAACUCGGUAGGCGGAGCACGGAAGGAGUA